This 662-nucleotide ribosomal RNA is filed under the name uncultured bacterium. RNAcentral's name for it is "bacterial SSU rRNA". It matches the Rfam family "Bacterial small subunit ribosomal RNA", at positions 8 to 649 of the family's 1533-position model. The record is from RNAcentral.
AGAGUUUGAUCCUGGCUCAGAUUGAACGCUGGCGGUAUGCUUAACACAUGCAAGUCGAACGGCAGCAUGGUAAAGAUUUCGGUUUUUACUGAUGGCGAGUGGCGGACGGGUGAGUAAUGGGUAGGAAUCUACCCUAAAGAAUGGGAUAACAAGCGGAAACGCGUGCUAAUACCAUAUAAUAUCGAGAGAUCAAAGCAGGGGACCGUUAUUGGCCUUGCGCUUUAGGAUGAGCCUACGUCGGAUUAGCUAGUUGGUGGGGUAAAGGCCUACCAAGGCGACGAUCCGUAGCUGGUCUGAGAGGAUGACCAGCCACACUGGGACUGAGACACGGCCCAGACUCCUACGGGAGGCAGCAGUGGGGAAUUUUGGACAAUGGGGGCAACCCUGAUCCAGCGAUACCGCGUGUGUGAAGAAGGCCUUUGGGUUGUAAAGCACUUUAGGUGGGGAAGAAAGUUGUACGAAGAAUAGGCGUACGAUGUGACGGUACCCACAGAAUAAGCACCGGCUAACUCUGUGCCAGCAGCCGCGGUAAUACAGAGGGUGCGAGCGUUAAUCAGAAUAACUGGGCGUAAAGGGCGUGUAAGGUGGUUGAACUAGGGUUGUGAUGUGAAAGCCCCGGGCUUACCCUGGGAAUGGCGUCGAAAACGGGUUGACUAGAGUGA